This 177-nucleotide ribosomal RNA is filed under the name uncultured eukaryote. RNAcentral describes it as "partial 18S ribosomal RNA". It matches the Rfam family "Eukaryotic small subunit ribosomal RNA", at positions 1456 to 1634 of the family's 1831-position model. The record is from RNAcentral.
GCACGGGGGGAUGCCCUUAGAUGUUCUGGGCUGCACGCGCGCUACACUGAUGCGCUCAACGAGUUUAUGACCUUGCCCGGUAGGGUUGGGUAAUCUUCUUAAAACGCAUCGUGAUGGGGAUAGAUUAUUGCAAUUAUUAAUCUUCAACGAGGAAUUCCUAGAAGCGCGAGUCAUCAG